Molecule: ribosomal RNA, 382 nt
Filed under: uncultured bacterium
Lineage: Bacteria
Description: bacterial SSU rRNA
Rfam family: Bacterial small subunit ribosomal RNA
Source: RNAcentral
GUAAAGCACUUUCAGUAGGGAGGAAGGUAGUGUAGUUAACACCUGCAUUAUUUGACGUUACCUACAGAAGAAGCACCGGCUAACUCCGUGCCAGCAGCCGCGGUAAUACGGAGGGUGCGAGCGUUAAUCGGAAUUACUGGGCGUAAAGCGCAUGCAGGCGGCCUGUUAAGUCAGAUGUGAAAGACCCGGGGCGUUAACCUCGGAAUUGCAUUUGAAACUGGCAGGCUAGAGUCUUGUAGAGGGGGGUAGGAAGUUUCAGGUGUAGCGGUGAAAUAGCGUAGAGAUCUGAAGGAAUACCAGUGGCGAAGGCGGCCCCCUCGGACAAAGACUGACGCUCAGAUGCGAAAGCGUGGGGAGCAAACAGGAUUAGAUACCCUGGUAG